Molecule: ribosomal RNA, 253 nt
Filed under: uncultured bacterium
Lineage: Bacteria
Description: partial 16S ribosomal RNA
Rfam family: Bacterial small subunit ribosomal RNA
Source: RNAcentral
UACGGAGGGUGCGAGCGUUGUCCGGAAUCACUGGGCGUAAAGGGCGCGUAGGCGGCUCGAUAAGCGUGUGGUGAAAGCCUGGGGCUCAACCCCGGGUCGGCCAUGCGAACUGUCGAGCUGGAGCACUGUAGAGGCAGGCGGAAUUCCGGGUGUAGCGGUGGAAUGCGUAGAGAUCCGGAAGAACACCGGUGGCGAAGGCGGCCUGCUGGGCAGUAGCUGACGCUGAGGCGCGACAGCGUGGGGAGCAAACAGG